RNAcentral lists this ribosomal RNA (253 nucleotides) under uncultured bacterium. RNAcentral's name for it is "partial 16S ribosomal RNA". It matches the Rfam family "Bacterial small subunit ribosomal RNA", at positions 524 to 776 of the family's 1533-position model. The record is from RNAcentral.
UACGGGGGGGGCAAGCGUUGUUCGGAAUUACUGGGCGUAAAGGGCUCGUAGGCUGCCAACUAAGUCAGACGUGAAAUCCCUCGGCUUAACCGGGGAACUGCAUCUGAUACUGGAUGGCUUGAGUGUGGGAGAGGGAUGCGGAAUUCCAGGUGUAGCGGUGAAAUGCGUAGAUAUCUGGAGGAACACCGGUGGCGAAGGCGGCAUCCUGGACCAUUACUGACACUGAAUAGCGAAAGCCAGGGGAGCAAACGGG